Molecule: non-coding RNA, 73 nt
Organism: Quaeritorhiza haematococci
Lineage: Eukaryota; Fungi; Chytridiomycota; Chytridiomycetes; Quaeritorhizaceae
Source: the annotation of a GenBank genome assembly
GCUCCGAUAGUGUAGUGGCUAUCACGUGUGCUUCACACGCACAAGGUCCUCAGUUCGAUCCUGAGUCGGAGCA